CGCAAGCCUGACGGAGCAAUACCGCGUGAGGGAGGAAGGCCUUUGGGUUGUAAACCUCUUUUCUUAAGGAAGAAGAUCUGACGGUACUUAAGGAAUCAGCAUCGGCUAACUCCGUGCCAGCAGCCGCGGUAAUACGGAGGAUGCAAGCGUUAUCCGGAAUUAUUGGGCGUAAAGCGUCCGCAGGCGGCAUUAUAAGUCUGCUGUCAAAGACCGCAGCUCAACUGCGGAAAGGCAGUGGAAACUGUAAAGCUAGAGUACGGUAGGGGUAGAGGGAAUUCCCAGUGUAGCGGUGAAAUGCGUAGAGAUUGGGAAGAACACCAGUGGCGAAAGCGCUCUACUGGGCCGUAACUGACGCUCAGGGACGAAAGCUAGGGGAGCG
RNAcentral lists this ribosomal RNA (379 nucleotides) under uncultured cyanobacterium. Its description in RNAcentral is "bacterial SSU rRNA". It matches the Rfam family "Bacterial small subunit ribosomal RNA", at positions 376 to 770 of the family's 1533-position model. Lineage: Bacteria; Bacillati; Cyanobacteriota. The record is from RNAcentral.